This is a non-coding RNA of Pelobates cultripes (western spadefoot toad), 214 nucleotides long. Lineage: Eukaryota; Metazoa; Chordata; Amphibia; Anura; Pelobatidae. The record is from the annotation of a GenBank genome assembly.
AUGAAAUCUGCACCCUGGAAUAACUGACAUAUGCGUUGGAGCCCUACCCUCUCCAAAUUCCGGUAAUCUCUGGCCGCCAUGCCCGGAGGAAAUUCCCUGUUACGGAGAUACGGCGUAAGGGGGGAGGGGUCUGAGGCUAAUUCGUAUUUAUGUGCCAUGGUGUCCCAUAGCCUGAUGGAAUUAAGAAUGGCUGGGCAGGUGACUCUGAUCUGGG